CUUUUAUUAUGUUGGUGUAUAUCUGGUUUAAUAUUAUUGUUGAAUAAUAUAAGUUUGUGUAAUUUUAUUAGUUAAGCCAAGUCUAUGUGCUGCUUAUAGAAGUAUUCAUGCGUUACUUUAAUAAAGUUUUAGUUGUAAGUACUAUCAUAUUCAGGACUUAAAAGUAAUGUUAAAUUAGUUUGUUAAUGUGAAAUAAGUUUAGCUCAUGUACACACC
This 216-nucleotide ribosomal RNA is filed under the name Taenia multiceps. RNAcentral's name for it is "partial small subunit ribosomal RNA". Lineage: Eukaryota; Metazoa; Platyhelminthes; Cestoda; Cyclophyllidea; Taeniidae. The record is from RNAcentral.